Coturnix japonica (Japanese quail) is the source of this 895-nucleotide long non-coding RNA. RefSeq lists it as uncharacterized. The record is from RefSeq and is a predicted model, not a curated record. Lineage: Eukaryota; Metazoa; Chordata; Aves; Galliformes; Phasianidae.
UUUUUCUGGAGAAUGUUCUUCUGUGGAGUUUUUGUGAGGUGUCUGAGCUGAAAAUCAUUGGAUGUUGGAGAGCAUUUGUGUGUCAGCUGAGAUGUUCUUAACCAAACCAUGGAAGUAGAGAUAAUUCUUCUCAUCCUUUCCGCUGAGCACUGGAUCCAACGUCAAGUUAAAUAAGAUGAAUAGAUGGUUUCUGUUUGUGAUGACUUCUGGGGACUGAUAAUGGGAAAAAGUGACAACUGGAUGGUCCUUGUAUGACAAGAAGACAGAGACCAACUAUUUAUUUAUGGACGCUGUUUCUUUGCAUAUAGCAUUCUUUAUAAUGCACAGUCCUGAGGCUGUCUAUUAUACACGGAUGAUAUCUUUUGUAUAAUGCUUUCAUUUCAUAAACUUUAUAUGUACACACUGGCAGUGGACGGAGAUUCCUUCAGGGAUUCCAAACCAGUCCUCACUGCUGGCAUAUAGGGGUUAUUUCCUAGACUGAGGUCGUUCUGCUCAUCUGGAUCACGGCACAGUCGUACUUCUUGGAGAGAGUAAACUGCAAAGUAGAAACAGUGGUGAGUUUAAACCCCUUAAAGAUCUGCAAAAUGAGCAUCAAUGUACACCCUUGGAGGAUUCAUAAGAGUCAUUAAAGGACUGAUUGUACCUAUUUGCAACUUAGCUGGGUGAUAAUAUUUGGGUAAAAUAUGUAGAAAGUUGUUCUCAAAAGCUGUCAUUUCGUGACCUUUCAUGCCAUUUCAUGCCAACCAGUCAAAAAGGAUAAAGUCAGAGAAUCAAAUUGAAAAGUAUUAAGCCUGAAAGAAGAAGGAAACAAUUUCACUAAACCAAUUAAUCAAACUGUAUCGCAGAACUUGAAAAAUCAAUAGACAAGGCAAUUUCAUCAUAUUUUCAUCAACUU